This 86-nucleotide transfer RNA is filed under the name Coriobacteriia bacterium. RNAcentral's name for it is "tRNA-Leu". It matches the Rfam family "tRNA". From Rfam's summary of the family: Transfer RNA (tRNA) molecules are approximately 80 nucleotides in length. Their secondary structure includes four short double-helical elements and three loops (D, anti-codon, and T loops). Lineage: Bacteria; Bacillati; Actinomycetota; Coriobacteriia. The record is from RNAcentral. RNAcentral also lists the same sequence under 1 other name.
GCGGGUGUGGCGGAAUGGCAGACGCGCAUGGUUCAGGUCCAUGUGGGCUUAGGCCCGUGAAGGUUCAACUCCUUUCACCCGCACCA